CCGGGAAGAAGAGUGUCCCUGAAGUCUGGACAUAACAGCAGUCGACACAUGGGACAGACCCCACCUCCUCGAGACAACCCCCGCUGUCCAACACUCUGCCGCUGCACUGAUCUGACAUUGCAUAGGAAACAGUCCUGCUGUUCGUGUUCCCCACAUACACUCUGGUGUGUAUGAUGCACAGUUUGUGAUGUUUAGUAUGGGUGUAGAAG
Molecule: long non-coding RNA, 209 nt
Organism: Siniperca chuatsi (mandarin fish)
Lineage: Eukaryota; Metazoa; Chordata; Actinopteri; Centrarchiformes; Sinipercidae
Exons: 3
Source: RefSeq, a predicted model, not a curated record